UACGUAGGGUGCAAGCGUUAAUCGGAAUUACUGGGCGUAAAGCGAGCGCAGGCGGUUGUGUAAGACAGAUGUGAAAUCCCAGGGCUCAACCUUGGAACUGCAUUUGUGACUGCACGGCUAGAGUGCGUCAGAGGGGGGUGGAACUCCACGUGUAGCAGUGAAAUGCGUAGAGAUGUGGAAGAACACCGAUGGCGAAGGCAGCCCCCUGGGAUGACACUGACGCUCAUGCUCGAAAGCGUGGGGAGCAAACAGG
Molecule: ribosomal RNA, 253 nt
Filed under: uncultured bacterium
Lineage: Bacteria
Description: partial 16S ribosomal RNA
Rfam family: Bacterial small subunit ribosomal RNA
Source: RNAcentral